This 439-nucleotide ribosomal RNA is filed under the name Fusobacterium periodonticum. RNAcentral's name for it is "bacterial SSU rRNA". It matches the Rfam family "Bacterial small subunit ribosomal RNA", at positions 28 to 492 of the family's 1533-position model. Lineage: Bacteria; Fusobacteriati; Fusobacteriota; Fusobacteriia; Fusobacteriales; Fusobacteriaceae. The record is from RNAcentral.
GAUGAACGCUGACAGAAUGCUUAACACAUGCAAGUCAACUUGAACUUCGGUUUGGGUGGCGGACGGGUGAGUAACGCGUAAAGAACUUGCCUCACAGAUAGGGACAACAUUUGGAAACGAAUGCUAAUACCUGAUAUUAUAAUUUUAGGGCAUCCUAGGAUUAUGAAAGCUAUAUGCGCUGUGAGAGAGCUUUGCGUCCCACUAGCUAGUUGGAGAGGUAACGGCUCACCAAGGCGAUGAUGGGUAGCCGGCCUGAGAGGGUGAUCGGCCACAAGGGGACUGAGACACGGCCCUUACUCCUACGGGAGGCAGCAGUGGGGAAUAUUGGACAAUGGACCAAGAGUCUGAUCCAGCAAUUCUGUGUGCACGAUGAAGUUUUUCGGAAUGUAAAGUGCUUUCAGUUGGGAAGAAAAAAAUGACAGUACCAACAGAAGAAGUA